Molecule: ribosomal RNA, 253 nt
Filed under: uncultured bacterium
Lineage: Bacteria
Description: partial 16S ribosomal RNA
Rfam family: Bacterial small subunit ribosomal RNA
Source: RNAcentral
UACGAGGGGUGCAAGCGUUAAUCGGAAUUACUGGGCGUAAAGCGCGCGUAGGUGGAUAGGUCAGUCAGAUGUGAAAGCCCAGGGCUCAACCUUGGAAUUGCAUCUGAUACUGCCUAUCUAGAGUACAGUAGAGGGGUGUGGAAUUUCCUGUGUAGCGGUGAAAUGCGUAGAUAUAGGAAGGAACACCAGUGGCGAAGGCGACACCCUGGACUGAUACUGACGCUGAGGUGCGAAAGUGUGGGGAGCAAACAGG